RNAcentral lists this ribosomal RNA (259 nucleotides) under uncultured bacterium. Its description in RNAcentral is "partial 16S ribosomal RNA". It matches the Rfam family "Bacterial small subunit ribosomal RNA", at positions 96 to 353 of the family's 1533-position model. The record is from RNAcentral.
UGGCGGACGGGUGAGUAACGCGUGGGUAACCUGCCUUAUACAGGGGGAUAACAGUUAGAAAUGACUGCUAAUACCGCAUAAGCGCACAGGAUUGCAUGAUCCGGUGUGAAAAACUCCGGUGGUGUAAGAUGGACCCGCGUCUGAUUAGGUAGUUGGUGGGGUAACGGCCCACCAAGCCGACGAUCAGUAGCCGACCUGAGAGGGUGACCGGCCACAUUGGGACUGAGACACGGCCCAAACUCCUACGGGAGGCAGCAUG